Molecule: transfer RNA, 85 nt
Filed under: Flavobacteriales bacterium
Lineage: Bacteria; Pseudomonadati; Bacteroidota; Flavobacteriia; Flavobacteriales
Description: tRNA-Leu
Rfam family: tRNA
About the family: Transfer RNA (tRNA) molecules are approximately 80 nucleotides in length. Their secondary structure includes four short double-helical elements and three loops (D, anti-codon, and T loops).
Source: RNAcentral
GCCCAGAUGGCGGAAUUGGUAGACGCGUUGGUCUCAAACACCAAUGGGGAAACCCGUGCCGGUUCGACCCCGGCUCUGGGUACAA